UCAUAUGAAAGUAUUUUGUACUCUGCUGGA
Molecule: non-coding RNA, 30 nt
Filed under: Rattus norvegicus (Norway rat)
Lineage: Eukaryota; Metazoa; Chordata; Mammalia; Rodentia; Muridae
Source: RNAcentral